UGUAACACAGUAGAAACAGUGACUUGUGACCUGAAUAGAAAAUGCCUACAGGAACAAUACAAUACUGUACAUGCAUUAGAGAAUAUUGAUGUUAAACAUGUGCCUCGUCCCAAAUGGCACCCUAUUCCCGCUGGGCCCUGUUCAAAAGUAGUGCACUAAAUAGGGAAUAGGGUGCCAUUUGGGACAAAGGCCACAGAUUGAGAGCGCAGAGGAAUGUCCUGCACUUGCAGUGUAAUUAUGGUGUGAGGGAGUGGGAGAAGAGGACAAGUAUGGAAGGAAGGGAUGCAGAGAGGGAGCUCUAUGUUAUUGAGAUGAUGAGGUGCUGCAGGUUUCUCCUACCAUAUGGGUGUAACACACACUCACAGUAAGCUCUCCAUCAAUGUCUCUGGGUGGCAGGAAUCAAGUUAUUAACAAUUCUAUACCGCAGUGCAUCUGACAGACAGACAGACAGACAAGACAAGACAAGACAAGACAGAGGAUCAACAGUCAGUCAGACAGACAGACAGAGGAUCAACAGUCAGUCAGACAUGCACACAGACAGACAGAGGAUCAACAGUCAGAUCAACAGUCAGUCAGACAGACAGAGGAUCAACAGUCAGUCAGACAGACAGAGGAUCAACAGUCAGACAGACAGACAGACAGAGGAUCAACAGUCAGACAGACAGACAGAGGAUCAUCAGUCAGACAGACAGACAGACAGACAGACAGACAGACAGACAGACAGACAGACAGACAGACAGACAGACAGACAGACAGACAGACAGACAGACAGACAGACAGACAGACAGCGGAUCAACAGUCAGUCAGACACUCACUCAGACAGACAGAGCAGUGACCGCCAGUUCACCCCAUGUUCCACGGUCACCAGUCAUGUCAGUCUGAGCUCCAGAGGGCUCAGACAGGUUAGCUGGUGUGUUACCGACCAUGUGCUGAUGUGAUACUACUACUACUACUACUACUACUACAUUACUACUAUGCCCUGGGUCUCUUUCUAUGUUUAUAUCUCUGAGUCUCAGAGCUGCGGAUAUGCCAAAAAUGACACCCUAUUCCCUACUUUUGACCGGGGGUUAUAAGGUUCCUGUAGGGCUCUGGUCAAAAGCAGUGCACUAUGUAGGGAAUAGGGUGCCAUUUGGGACUCAGAACUAAGAAUGUGUGCCAAACAGAGGCUCGUUUGGUGGUUGGAAGUGAGCUGCUGUCAUCCCUGCUCAGCUCCCUCUCCGUGACGCAUCAUCACUCCGCGCCAGACCAUAAGGACUUGCCAGACUGGUUACACUUCGUCUGUUCGUCCUGUAGUCAUCAUCUGUGUGCGUUGUUCUGUGUUUCGCUGACCCUGGGUCAGUGUAGCAUUUUCCCCGC
Molecule: long non-coding RNA, 1356 nt
Filed under: Salmo salar (Atlantic salmon)
Lineage: Eukaryota; Metazoa; Chordata; Actinopteri; Salmoniformes; Salmonidae
Description: lncRNA (ENSSSAG00000099060.1)
Source: RNAcentral